Long non-coding RNA from Melopsittacus undulatus (budgerigar), 982 nucleotides. RefSeq lists it as uncharacterized. The record is from RefSeq and is a predicted model, not a curated record. Lineage: Eukaryota; Metazoa; Chordata; Aves; Psittaciformes; Psittaculidae. The transcript is spliced from 3 exons.
UUGCUGCAGAGGAGGGGAGGGAAAGCUCAUCACUCAUAUUUUGGUUUGCUUUAACCAUGGGAGGUGUCUGUGAUCUGGAUCUCCCUCCCUCCCUAUAUGUAGGGAUGGUGGACUGCUGAAGAACAGGCAGAGAUGCGGAGCAGAAAGUGCAUGGAAAGGACACUGUCCAGAGAAGGCAGUGCCUGCUGGAUGCCCACAGAGCCCUGACCCUUGUGAUCACUCCUGCCAUACAGCGUGUUGGGUUCUUCCAUCCUUGAAGCUCUUUCCAGAUGGGAGAGGGAGAAAGAAAGCUGCCAUGGCCAUCAGCGUGUCAUUGGAGUUAACACAGGAGUUGUCAAAUGCUUCCUGUUUGCUGCCGAAGAGCUCUGUAUUAGCACAAGGCUGCAAAACUGUAACAUCUAUUACCAAGCAGUGCUUACACAGAGUCAAGGCCUUUUCUGCUCCUCAUCUCACCGGUGAGGAGGCUGGGGAUGGACAAGAGGCUGGGAGGGAAAACAGCCAGGACAGCUGAUCUCAACUGAUCCUAGGGAUAUUCCUUACCCUAUGAUGUCAUGCUCAGCAUAUAAAGCUGGAGAAAGAAGGAAGAAGGGGAUGUUUGUAAUGUGAUGGUGUUUGUCUUUCCCACUAGCUAUUACUUGCUCUCAUGAAUAUAGAUUACAGGGAUUGUGCUAACAUGUUUUUUUCCCCUUGCAUUCAGAAAUCCAGUCAGUGUUCUAUGUAAUUCUCUAAUAGCAUAUAUGGGUCAGACUGCAUUCUGAGUUUGCAUGAUGAGCUCUGGCUGAAGUCUCUAGGGACAAAUAACCCAAAUACAGGCCUGUAUUCCUCUAGUAACUCUGUAAUACACUGCUCAUUAUGUGAGUAUGUGAGCACCUACACUUUCAUGUUAAAUGUUAUGCAAAAUAUAAUUUAGAUGUUCUGCUGGUUGCUGUCUCAGGGAAUAUUUCCUUUCUAGGUGAAUAAAUUCUUUUGUCUCUAGCUUGAA